Long non-coding RNA from Mus caroli (Ryukyu mouse), 685 nucleotides. RefSeq lists it as uncharacterized. The record is from RefSeq and is a predicted model, not a curated record. NCBI's taxonomy places the organism in Eukaryota, Metazoa, Chordata, Mammalia, Rodentia, Muridae.
UGGGGUCCCGGCACUCAGGAUCAGGGACUGCUUAGGUCCCCAUGAACACAGAAUUAGAGUCUGCAGGUGACUACCAAGCUGCUGGGGCCACAGCAGGACCUUGGGCAGGCAGCAAGGUGUCCAGGUUCCACCACUGAUCCUCAACACCCUGCUCACGGCCAGAAUCACACACUCGCUUUUACUGUGGUCACCAAUGCCUCACAGAUGCCUAUCUCUGGCCUCAAAGCGUCUCCCUGUCUGUGGUCCAGCCUCUGCAGCAUAGGAAUUGGCUUCCAGGGCAUGGCCAGCCUCCGUCCCGCUCUGUGCUUUGCAAUUACUUCCAGUAUUACAUAGUUAUUCAGCAAUUGUGACUCUACAAAACCAGUUACCGAAAGUUUCCUAUUUCUGCCUUGGUCAUUUGUUCUACUGCCUAAUAACGUCUCUAUCUGCAGGUUUUCUCGGCAACCGUGCUCGAACAUAGGUGGCCAUGGCAGGUGGAUUCUGUGAGAAGCGGGGGUCUUUGAGCACAGGGCCUACACAGAGACUGUGAGGCCGAGUCUGCCCAGCCAUUGGGAGCAGAGUUGGGGUGAUACAGGAUAAGGCUCUUGGGGACCCUGGACCCCUACUUAGAAGUCAUAUAUGUUGGGCUGGAGAGAUGGCUCAGCAGUUAAGAGCACCAACUGCUCUUCCAGAGGUCCUGAGUUCA